GGGGGCAUAGCUCAGCUGGGAGAGCAACAGACUGAAGUUGAUGAUUUAUUCCAUUGUUCUUUCUGGAGGUCCCCAGUUCAAUCCUGGGUGCCCCCA
Non-coding RNA from Armillaria mellea, 96 nucleotides. Lineage: Eukaryota; Fungi; Basidiomycota; Agaricomycetes; Agaricales; Physalacriaceae. The record is from the annotation of a GenBank genome assembly.